AAGUCGUAACAAGGUUUCCGUAGGUGAACCUGCGGAAGGAUCAUUAAUAAUAUAGCAAACCGAGCGUUAGCGAGGUUCUGCGAUCAAAAUUGUAUUUAAAACCCAACACUUUGAAUCAAUAUUUUUUUUGUAUCUUAAAUAAUAAAAGAUCACUUUCAACAACGGAUCUCUUGGUUCUC
RNAcentral lists this unclassified non-coding RNA (179 nucleotides) under fungal sp. Its description in RNAcentral is "partial internal transcribed spacer region". The stretch from base 1 to 46 matches the Rfam family "Eukaryotic small subunit ribosomal RNA", at positions 1786 to 1831 of the family's 1831-position model. Lineage: Eukaryota; Fungi. The record is from RNAcentral.